GGAGAGAUGCUGGAGCGACUGACCGAACCUGUCCCGAAAACGGGAGUAGGGCAACGCUACCGGGGGUUCAAAUCCCCCGUCUCUCUA
RNAcentral lists this transfer RNA (87 nucleotides) under Pectobacterium brasiliense. Its description in RNAcentral is "tRNA-OTHER". The record is from RNAcentral. Lineage: Bacteria; Pseudomonadati; Pseudomonadota; Gammaproteobacteria; Enterobacterales; Pectobacteriaceae. RNAcentral also lists the same sequence under 1 other name.